This 372-nucleotide ribosomal RNA is filed under the name uncultured Nitrosospira sp. RNAcentral's name for it is "bacterial SSU rRNA". It matches the Rfam family "Bacterial small subunit ribosomal RNA", at positions 524 to 896 of the family's 1533-position model. The record is from RNAcentral. Lineage: Bacteria; Pseudomonadati; Pseudomonadota; Betaproteobacteria; Nitrosomonadales; Nitrosomonadaceae.
UACGUAGGGUGCGAGCGUUAAUCGGAAUUACUGGGCGUAAAGCGUGCGCAGGCGGUUUUGUAAGUCAGAUGUGAAAUCCCCGGGCUUAACCUGGGAACUGCGUUUGAAACUACAAGGCUAGAGUGUGGCAGAGGGGGGUGGAAUUCCACGUGUAGCAGUGAAAUGCGUAGAGAUGUGGAGGAACACCGAUGGCGAAGGCAGCCCCCUGGGUUAACACUGACGCUCAGGCACGAAAGCGUGGGGAGCAAACAGGAUUAGAUACCCUGGUAGUCCACGCCCUAAACGAUGUCAACUAGUUGUCGGGUCUUAACGGACUUGGUAACGCAGCUAACGCGUGAAGUUGACCGCCUGGGGAGUACGGUCGCAAGAUUA